This is a microRNA precursor of Aotus nancymaae (Ma's night monkey), 76 nucleotides long. Ensembl annotates it as microRNA 711. Its record names the gene MIR711. NCBI's taxonomy places the organism in Eukaryota, Metazoa, Chordata, Mammalia, Primates, Aotidae. The record is from Ensembl.
ACUGACUUUGAGUCUCUCCUCAGGGUGCUACGGGCAAAGCCGGGGACCCGGGGAGAGACGUAAGUGAAGGGAGAUG